Molecule: ribosomal RNA, 268 nt
Filed under: uncultured bacterium
Lineage: Bacteria
Description: partial 16S ribosomal RNA
Rfam family: Bacterial small subunit ribosomal RNA
Source: RNAcentral
CGUAAACAAAGGGAAGCAAGCAUGUGAGUGUAAGCAAAUCUCAAAAAUAACGUCUCAGUUCGGAUUGUAGUCUGCAACCCGACUACAUGAAGCUGGAAUCGCUAGUAAUCGCGAAUCAGAAUGUCGCGGUGAAUACGUUCCCGGGUCUUGUACACACCGCCCGUCACACCAUGGGAGUCGGUAACGCCCGAAGCCUGUGACCCAACCUAAUAGGAGGGAGCAGUCGAAGGUGGGACCGGUGACUGGGGUGAAGUCGUAACAAGGUAAC